CUAGAUGCCGGCAUGGAAGCAAAAGUAGGCGCAAAACCUUUAGGUACAAAGUUUGGCGGCAUUCCCUAUAGGAAUCCGGUAGGCAUGGCAGGAGCAAAAUGAGUGGCAGGCACGGUUGAAGAAACAACCUCGGAUAUGACCAUCCUCUAAGGAGGAGGAGUUGCAGGCGUUGGAAAAGAUUGACUUUGAGCAGCUAGGACUGACUCCAUCAUGGCAGUCAG
RNAcentral lists this long non-coding RNA (221 nucleotides) under Lathyrus oleraceus (garden pea). RNAcentral's name for it is "Pisum sativum (pea) long non-coding RNA (PSAT_LNC020876)". The record is from RNAcentral. Lineage: Eukaryota; Viridiplantae; Streptophyta; Magnoliopsida; Fabales; Fabaceae.